RNAcentral lists this ribosomal RNA (390 nucleotides) under Triticum aestivum (bread wheat). Its description in RNAcentral is "partial small subunit ribosomal RNA". Lineage: Eukaryota; Viridiplantae; Streptophyta; Magnoliopsida; Poales; Poaceae. The record is from RNAcentral.
AUGAUGGAAAAGCAUUGGGCGGCGCUUGUGCAGCACAAUGGAUGUGAUGUAUGUCCAGCCGUGGAGUCCAGCUGCCACAUUCUUCUUCGUUGUAAGCUUGCAAAUGCUGUUUGGGAGAAAUUAGGCCUAUCUGACCCAGCACGGGGCUCAUCCGAUCUGCAUGGCUUCCUUCUUUCGCCAGCUACAAGACACAAGUACGUCAAGCUGUGGCACAUCCUAUUUGCAGCCUGCGUGGUUGCACUUUGGAAUGGACGUAAUGCUCGAGUUUUUGACAAUGCCAGAUGGUCGUCAGCAAAAACCUUCUCUGCAAUUGCAACUCUUAUUAGGUUGUGGUGUUUUAGAGCACCGGGGGAUGAUGAUCGAGCUGUGUUAUGUGGUUGGUUGACAUAG